UACGAAGGGUGCAGACGUUGCUCGGAAUUAUUGGGCGUAAAGCGCACGUAGGCGGCUUGGCAAGUCGGAUGUGAAAUCCCUCGGCUCAACCAAGGAAGUGCAUCCGAAACUGCUGAGCUUGAGUACGAAAGAGGAUCGCGGAAUUCCCGGUGUAGAGGUGAAAUUCGUAGAUAUCGGGAGGAACACCGGUGGCGAAGGCGGCGACCUGGGUAGAUACUGACGCUGAGGUGCGAAAGCGUGGGGAGCAAACAGG
Molecule: ribosomal RNA, 253 nt
Filed under: uncultured bacterium
Lineage: Bacteria
Description: partial 16S ribosomal RNA
Rfam family: Bacterial small subunit ribosomal RNA
Source: RNAcentral